Molecule: small nuclear RNA, 101 nt
Filed under: Tupaia belangeri chinensis (Chinese tree shrew)
Lineage: Eukaryota; Metazoa; Chordata; Mammalia; Scandentia; Tupaiidae
Source: RNAcentral
GUAAAGUUAAAACACAUGUACAAAAAAUAGAAUGAUAGAGACAAAAUUAGCAUGGCACCUACACUACUGAUACACAAAUUUGUGAAACAUUGUAAUUUUUU